UGGCUCAUCUUAAAAUUUUCUCCUUCAUUGUUCUAACUUCUCUGCUGUUCAUGUCAAUUCCUCCAUUCUGUUGUGCUGACGCUAUCAUAGCAACAGAGAUCGAGCUCCACUGCAACCUUCAAAUGCUAAGUUGUCUCUAAGCAAAACUCCAAAACUCAAUCUGACUUUGUACUAUGAUUCACUGUGUCCAUCUAGCAGGGAUUUCAUCAUAAGGGAUCUAGUGAAAGUAUUUAUGGAGGACCUAAUCAGCAUUGUCAACCUCCGGCUUGUCCAAUGGGGCAAUGCUCUUAUUGUAGAACCCAACGAGAACAUAAUUUGCCAGCAUGGCCCAGAUGAUACAACCUGAAUGCUAUAGAGGCCUGUGCCAUUAACAUCUGGCCAGAUGUGGGAAAACCUGCUCUCUUCCAGUCUUCCUCAAAUCUCUUAAAAAUACAUCAUACAAUCUAUAGUUGCACUGUUAUCAAGUUUUAGUUAAUAAAUUGCUAGCAUAACAUGUACAACUAGCCUAAACUGUUGCAAAUAAUAUGAACUACUAAGAUACAAUGAAUUGUAACUCUAAUGCAGAAGCAACAUUUCAAAUUUCAUCUAGUGUGUUGAGAGUCAAGCCUCUGAAGGAAGGCAAAUAGGGGAAAACACAUGGAAAUCUUGUUGUCAAAAACUGAGUGAGUCCAAGGCCUGUUUCAGAUUGCUACAAUAGUGGCCUUGGGAGAGAGAUUUUACUACGUCAUACUGAUGAAACAAAUCAUCUUAAUCCGCCUCAUACAUUUGUAUCAUGGUUGAUCUUGGAUAACCAACCACUGUACAAGGACUUCAAAAACUUUGUCACCUAUGUUUGCAAGGCUUACAAAGGCCACCUUCAAAUAAAGGCUUGCAAAUCACUUCCAAAAGAGAUCAACUUAGAUGAGAAUGCCAAUUCAAUCCAACCGCUGUGUAAUGCUAGUGAAGCAAAGAAAAUGCAUGGGUCACCAACAGCUUCAUGGAUGCGACAUAUGAAGAUGGAACCUCCGGUCUAUUUCAGAUAUCGUUCUACAUCACCUUCUGCUCUGUCAAUCAUGGCUGGUCUACUACUAUUAUAAUAAUACCUUGCCAGCUUGUUUAUGGUGUUUAGAUGGAUAUAUAGCAAGCUUAUGAGAAGAGGGAACUACUGUUUGUAUGUCAUAGUGGAUAUACUUAUGGCUCAACUAGAAAUUUAUGUGGGUUAUAUGUAACUUUGA
Molecule: long non-coding RNA, 1214 nt
Organism: Quercus robur (English oak)
Lineage: Eukaryota; Viridiplantae; Streptophyta; Magnoliopsida; Fagales; Fagaceae
Exons: 4
Source: RefSeq, a predicted model, not a curated record